Molecule: long non-coding RNA, 1297 nt
Filed under: Mus musculus (house mouse)
Lineage: Eukaryota; Metazoa; Chordata; Mammalia; Rodentia; Muridae
Description: predicted gene, 26885
Source: RNAcentral
ACCCAAUUCCUGGAGGACAGUGAGGUGAAGGAGGGACAGAGGCUUCCACCUGGAGCUACCCUGAGGCUCUUCCUCCAUAGCCCAAGCCCUCAGGAGUGCUUCAUCCAGAAAACGCAAAACUAGCAGAUGCUGAGGACCACAAGCAAAUGAAGAGAGGAGAAAAACAAACAGCUGUGUACCGGAUACAGAACCUCUUUUUUCUCUCCUUUUUUUUUUCCUCUUGGUUUUUCCCGAGACAGGGUUUCUCUGUGUAGCCUUGAAUGUCCUGGAACUAGCCUUUAGAGAAGGCUGGCCUGGAACUCCCUGAGAUCAGCCUGCCUCUGCCUCCUCCCUGCGGGGAUUAAAAAGCUGGAAAGGGCAGAUGCUGCCUCCUCUGCUGCCAGCUGCCAGCAGCAGGAACAGGGAGCACCUUUGUGUUUGCUUGACACUGGUCCUCAAGAAGCUGGCUCCUGCUGGCCUGGGACUUUUUUUUUUUUUUUUUCCCCUGAGACAGGGUUUCUCUGUAUAGCCCUGGCUGUCCUGGAACUCCCUGAGAUCAGCCUGCCUCUGCCUCCUGAGUGCUGGGAUUCAAAGUGUCCGCCACCACCGCCUGGCAGAGGCUUUUUACAUUUCUAAAUGGCAUUUGUAAAAUGUUGAUGGCCAAGCAUGAUACCUCAUGCCUGAGACGCCAGCUCUCAGGAGGCCCCCGGCAAGUUCAAGGCCAGCUUGCUCUACAUGAUCCAAAGAAGCGUCUUUCUCUGAUUCCUUUUAUCUGGAAGAACUGAGAGGAGACGGGCGAACGGUUGUGAGAAUCUCUUUAAGGGGCAGUCCUGGAAUGAGUGAAGUGCACCGCUGACUCCUGGCCGCCUGUCUCUCCUAUGGCCUGGCAUCUUCACAGAUGCAGAUUUUGAAAAUGCAUUUCUCCUUUAUCUGAGAGCCCCUCCUGCCCCCUCCUCCAGGACCGACACACUAUGCGUGGAACCUGUGAUGCUAGGCCAUCCUUCCUAUGGUUUGACAUAUUGUCUCACCAGUAAAGGGUAGAGCUGGAACCCACCAUGAAAUCCUGGCCCAGCAAAAUACGUGCCCUAGAGAAGAAGGACCACAAACUCAAGGUCACCUGGGGCUACAUACUUAAGAUCCAGUCUCAAAACUCCAAAUCAAACAAAAAUUGCGCUAAUAAUAAAUUGUAGGAAGUAAGAAGAUGACACCAGGUAGCAGGUCUCAGGCAGCCUCUUUCUGGCUUUAGACUCAUGAUGGCUUAGAGUAGUUUUGAACUCCCAGUAUCAUCUUCUAAAUGUGCAUCUCGACAAAAAAAAAA